Molecule: ribosomal RNA, 728 nt
Filed under: Microbacterium sp.
Lineage: Bacteria; Bacillati; Actinomycetota; Actinomycetes; Micrococcales; Microbacteriaceae
Description: bacterial SSU rRNA
Rfam family: Bacterial small subunit ribosomal RNA
Source: RNAcentral
CAGUCGAACGGUGGACACGGGAGCUUGCUCUGUGGGAUCAGUGGCGAACGGGUGAGUAACACGUGAGCAACCUGCCCCUGACUCUGGGAUAAGCGCUGGAAACGGCGUCUAAUACUGGAUAUGUGACGUGACCGCAUGGUCUGCGUCUGGAAAGAAUUUCGGUUGGGGAUGGGCUCGCGGCCUAUCAGCUUGUUGGUGAGGUAAUGGCUCACCAAGGCGUCGACGGGUAGCCGGCCUGAGAGGGUGACCGGCCACACUGGGACUGAGACACGGCCCAGACUCCUACGGGAGGCAGCAGUGGGGAAUAUUGCACAAUGGGCGCAAGCCUGAUGCAGCAACGCCGCGUGAGGGACGACGGCCUUCGGGUUGUAAACCUCUUUUAGCAGGGAAGAAGCGAAAGUGACGGUACCUGCAGAAAAAGCGCCGGCUAACUACGUGCCAGCAGCCGCGGUAAUACGUAGGGCGCAAGCGUUAUCCGGAAUUAUUGGGCGUAAAGAGCUCGUAGGCGGUUUGUCGCGUCUGCUGUGAAAUCCGGAGGCUCAACCUCCGGCCUGCAGUGGGUACGGGCAGACUAGAGUGCGGUGGGGGAGAUUGGAAUUCCUGGUGUAGCGGUGGAAUGCGCAGAUAUCACGAGGAACACCGAUGGCGAAGGCAGAUCUCUGGGCCGUAACUGACGCUGAGGAGCGAAGGGGUGGGGAGCAUACAUGCUUAGAUACCCUGGUAGUCCA